Oxyura jamaicensis (ruddy duck) is the source of this 242-nucleotide long non-coding RNA. RefSeq lists it as uncharacterized. Lineage: Eukaryota; Metazoa; Chordata; Aves; Anseriformes; Anatidae. The record is from RefSeq and is a predicted model, not a curated record. The transcript is spliced from 2 exons.
GAGGCGGUGGCUCUCCUCCGCGGCGUGGGUGCAAGCAAGGACGGGUCCCUAAAGAGCAGCAGAAGAGACAGGAGCAGGCACAGUGAGGUGGGAAGGCGGCGCGACGGAGGGGGCUGGAAAUGCAGGAGGCGAGAAAAGAGACCGAGGCAGAGCUGUGCUGCUACGGAAAGUUUCCAGGCAAGAGAAGAGAGAAAGCACCGGAGGCACUGCGGGGCGGCUGGGCUCCUGUUAGCACUUCGGGG